Long non-coding RNA from Prinia subflava (tawny-flanked prinia), 515 nucleotides. RefSeq lists it as uncharacterized. The record is from RefSeq and is a predicted model, not a curated record. NCBI's taxonomy places the organism in Eukaryota, Metazoa, Chordata, Aves, Passeriformes, Cisticolidae. The transcript has 2 exons.
AUCCUCCUUUUCCUCCUCCUCCUCCAGGCACGGCCCCGCAGCUUUCCAGGCUGUGUUUUCCCUGUCCUGGGCUCAUCCCCAGCAGGAAGGGCAGCAAGACAAGGAAACGGGAUUCUGCCCCUCUGCCCUGCUCAGGGGUGUGCACAGGGGCGAUGAGACGGGACGUGAAGCACAGAGGCACUCGGGAAGCUCUGCCUUCUCUGGUAAAAGUCCUUUAUUAGAACGGCAAACAUGACACUUGUCGUCAGUACAGCGGCUGUGUGCAGCUACCAUCGCGCAACGGGGGGACGACGUCGUACAAUCACUGGGACUCUAAGAAGCACCAUGAACACCCUAAAGAACGGGGGAUGACGGCUGAGAGGAGCCCCGGGUGAGCCGGCCACGGGGGCUCCUCAGGGAUCCACCAAGGAGCUGCCCCGGCGUUGUCCCGCAACACGGCUCUCCGGCGGCUGGGAGGAACUCCCUGCUGGGAGUCAACGAGAUAGCACCCAUCCAAUAAAUUAGGAAAAACCUAA